GUGGAUUAGAUACCCGAGUAGUCCACGCCCUCAACGAUGUCAACUAGGUGUUGGGUGGGUAAAACCAUUUGGUACCGUAGCUAACGCGUGAAGUUGACCGCCUGGGGAGUACGGCCGCAAGGUUAAAACUCAAAGGAAUUGACGGGGACCCGCACAAGCGGUGGAUGAUGUGGAUUAAUUCGAUGCAACGCGAAAAACCUUACCUACCCUUGACAUGCCAGGAACUUGCCAGAGAUGGCUUGGUGCCCGAAAGGGAGCCUGGACACAGGUGCUGCACGGCCGUCGUCAACU
RNAcentral lists this ribosomal RNA (291 nucleotides) under uncultured bacterium. RNAcentral's name for it is "partial 16S ribosomal RNA". It matches the Rfam family "Bacterial small subunit ribosomal RNA", at positions 773 to 1060 of the family's 1533-position model. The record is from RNAcentral.